CCCGCCCCGUCGCAGCUGUCAAACGGCUGCGGUAUCAUGACCGUACGAAGGUAGCAUAAUAAGUAGUCUUUUAAUUGGGGACUGGAAUGAACGGUAUCAUAAGAAAAAGACUCUUUCAGCCGUAGAAAGUGUAGAUUAUGAUUAUCAAUGUAAAAAGGCCAGGAUAUAUAAAAGUGACAAGAAGACCCUAGGAGUUUUACACUUGUAAUUUCACUUUAGGCGAGUACAGCUGUAGAUUAAGUAAUUGAAGGGUGUCCUAACGUGGGGCGGUUAGACAAUACUAAUCUAUUAUUGGUGUGUACCUAUAAGAGUAGGAGUAUCUUUAUUUUUAAUCCUUGUUGGAGUGAGAGAAGAAUUACCUUAGGGAUAACAGCAUAAUCUUUUCUGAGAGAUCUUAUUGACAGGGGGGUUUGUGACCUCGGAUGUNGGAUUUGAAGUGCUAUGUGGAGCUGACAUUUAGCC
This 462-nucleotide ribosomal RNA is filed under the name Parasterope gamurru. RNAcentral's name for it is "partial 16S ribosomal RNA". It matches the Rfam family "Archaeal large subunit ribosomal RNA", at positions 1950 to 2641 of the family's 2987-position model. Lineage: Eukaryota; Metazoa; Arthropoda; Ostracoda; Myodocopida; Cylindroleberididae. The record is from RNAcentral.